Molecule: ribosomal RNA, 444 nt
Filed under: uncultured bacterium
Lineage: Bacteria
Description: bacterial SSU rRNA
Rfam family: Bacterial small subunit ribosomal RNA
Source: RNAcentral
GAUGAACGCUGGCGGCGUGCUUAACACAUGCAAGUCGAACGGGAUCGGCUGGAGCUUGCUCCGGCCGUGAGAGUGGCGAACGGGUGAGUAAUGCGUGACCGACCUGCCCCAUACACCGGAAUAGCUCCUGGAAACGGGUGGUAAUGCCGGAUGCUCCAGUUGACCGCAUGGUCCUCUGGGAAAGCUUUCGCGGUAUGGGAUGGGGUCGCGUCCUAUCAGCUUGAUGGCGGGGUAACGGCCCACCAUGGCUUCGACGGGUAGCCGGCCUGAGAGGGCGACCGGCCACAUUGGGACUGAGAUACGGCCCAGACUCCUACGGGAGGCAGCAGUGGGGAAUAUUGCACAAUGGGCGCAAGCCUGAUGCAGCGACGCCGCGUGCGGGAUGACGGCCUUCGGGUUGUAAACCGCUUUUGACUGGGAGCAAGCCCUUCGGGGUGAGUGUAC